CCUACGGGCGGCAGCAGUGGGGGAUAUUGCACAAUGGGGGAAACCCUGAUGCAGCGACGCCGCGUGGAGGAAGAAGCACCUCGGCGUGUAAAGCUCUAUCAGCAGGGAAGAAAAUGACGGUACCUGACGAAGAAGCCCCGGCUAACUACGUGCCAGCAGCCGCGGUAAUACGUAGGGGGCAAGCGUUAUCCGGAUUUACUGGGUGUAAAGGGAGCGUAGGCGGGUUAGCAAGCCAGAAGUGAAAGCCCGGGGCUCAACUCCGGGACUGCUUUUGGAACUGCGGGGCUAGAGUGCAGGAGGGGCAGGUGGAAUUCCUGGUGUAGCGGUGAAAUGCGUAGAUAUUAGGAGGAACACCGGUGGCGAAGGCGGCUUGCUGGACUGUAAAUGACGCUGAGGCUCGAAAGCGUGGGGAGCAAACAGGAUUAGAUACCCCAGUAGUC
This 440-nucleotide ribosomal RNA is filed under the name uncultured bacterium. Its description in RNAcentral is "partial 16S ribosomal RNA". It matches the Rfam family "Bacterial small subunit ribosomal RNA", at positions 338 to 795 of the family's 1533-position model. The record is from RNAcentral.